This 497-nucleotide ribosomal RNA is filed under the name uncultured bacterium. RNAcentral describes it as "partial 16S ribosomal RNA". It matches the Rfam family "Bacterial small subunit ribosomal RNA", at positions 28 to 507 of the family's 1533-position model. The record is from RNAcentral.
GAUGAACGCUGGCGGCGUGCCUAAUACAUGCAAGUCGAGCGAACAGACGAGGAGCUUGCUCCUCUGACGUUAGCGGCGGACGGGUGAGUAACACGUGGAUAACCUACCUAUAAGACUGGGAUAACUUCGGGAAACCGGAGCUAAUACCGGAUAAUAUAUUGAACCGCAUGGUUCAAUAGUGAAAGACGGUUUUGCCGUCACUUAUAGAUGGAUCCGCGCCGCAUUAGCUAGUUGGUAAGGUAACGGCUUACCAAGGCAACGAUGCGUAGCCGACCUGAGAGGGUGAUCGGCCACACUGGAACUGAGACACGGUCCAGACUCCUACGGGAGGCAGCAGUAGGGAAUCUUCCGCAAUGGGCGAAAGCUUGACGGAACAACGCCGCGUGAGUGAUGAAGGUCUUCGGAUCGUAAAACUCUGUUAUUAGGGAAGAACAAAUGUGUAAGUAACUAUGCACGUCUUGACGGUACCUAAUCAGAAAGCCACGGCUAACUACGUG